Molecule: ribosomal RNA, 420 nt
Filed under: bacterium
Lineage: Bacteria
Description: partial 16S ribosomal RNA
Rfam family: Bacterial small subunit ribosomal RNA
Source: RNAcentral
UGGGGGAUAUUGCACAAUGGGCGAAAGCCUGAUGCAGCGACGCCGCGUGGGGGAUGAAGGCUUUCGGGUUGUAAACCUCUUUCGCUAUCGAACAAGGCCCGCUUAGGGUGGGUUGAGGGUAGGUGGAGAAGAAGCGCCGGCUAACUACGUGCCAGCAGCCGCGGUAAUACGUAGGGCGCGAGCGUUGUCCGGAAUUAUUGGGCGUAAAGGGCUUGUAGGCGGCUUGUUGCGCCUGCUGUGAAAACGCGGGGCUUAACUUCGCGCGUGCAGUGGGUACGGGCAGGCUUGAGUGUGGUAGGGGUGACUGGAAUUCCAGGUGUAGCGGUGGAAUGCGCAGAUAUCUGGAGGAACACCGAUGGCGAAGCCAGGUCACUGGGCCAUUACUGACGCUGAGGAGCGAAAGCAUGGGUAGCGAACAGG